RNAcentral lists this transfer RNA (54 nucleotides) under Amphiascoides atopus. RNAcentral's name for it is "tRNA-Phe". Lineage: Eukaryota; Metazoa; Arthropoda; Copepoda; Harpacticoida; Miraciidae. The record is from RNAcentral.
AUUUUCAUAGUUUAAAGAGAGCGCUACUUUGAAGCAGUAGAGGUUUAGAAAAUA